GAAUAGUGAGCCCAAAAAUGGAGUUUCCUCCUUCUUCCUCCUCCACGGUCUCACACGACACCGUUUUCUACACCAUAUACCCUAACUCCUCCAUCACAACCAACACCCUCCAAUCUCUCCACCUCCAAAUCCUACAAACCAUUUCUCCCUUCAUCACCGACUACAUAUGGCAACAUCAACCUUUCACACUCUCUCUCUCCAUUCCUCCAAACCCUACCUGUCUCUGCCCUUCCUCCUCCAACAUCCCCCACCUCCACGGCCACUUUCGUUACGGCGACAACCUCGACGACGAAUGGUUUGCCGUCUUCCUCCUCUUCCACAUCUCCAUCCAUUUUCCCUCCCUUUCCAUCCGCCUCUGGGACUCCGACGGCGAGUUUCUUCUCAUCGAAGCCGCCUUCCAUCUUCCUCGCUGGCUCAAUCCCGAUUCCUCUGACAACCGUCUCUUCCUCCGUAACGGAAAAAUUCAUAUCAUUCCCUGUAAACGUCUUCCUUCCCCUUCCCUCAUUGAUUCACUCAACUUCCUCACAAAUUCUGAGUCCGAAUCGCAAGCCUCUGAUCCGGUUCAGACCGUGAUUAUGAACCGGAUCAAAGAUUAUCCAGACCGGGCUAGAAAAAACAUGCACAGUGUUAGGGUUAGGGUUCCAGUGUCAGUUGCAAAGGUUCUUAAGCACGAGCCGUGCUUGAUUUCGCUGGCUGUGGAAGGUUUCUACGACAGGGAUAUUGAUGGUAUGAAAUUCGCGGCUAAGAUGGAGAGAUUCUUGGAGAAAGGGAGGGAGGAGGAGUUGGUGUGCGUUUCAUUGAAGAUGUCGAGGGCUAUGUAUGCGCAGCUUGUUCAGCAAACGUUUAGGGCUCCGAAGGUUUAUCCCGAGCUUCCGUGUCGAGACCGGAAGGAGGAGUAUGCGGAGGCGGAGCUUGGGUUGAAGAUUUCUUGUGGGAUGGAAAUGAUGUAUCAGCAGCGGAAGUGUGAUGGGGUUGAAGGGAAGGGUUCUACUUGGGAAGCGUUUUUGCAGAGCUUGGAGAAAAGUGGUUACUUUCAAGGACUGCUUCCAGGUUCCAGUGAGUAUCAGAGGUUGAUGCAGAAUGCUCAAGAGUAUUAUAGAAACACUUCUCUGCACUCCAAGGCCGGUGUUGAUAGUAAACCAUCUUCUGAAAAGACCAUCACACACACACACACACACAUAUAUAUAUAUAUAUAUAUUCAUUGUGCCAGCUUCUAGCUUUGGAUAAUUUUGCUAUUGAUAGAGAAUUACAUGAAGGGUAAUUUAGAGAUAUUAUAAUUAAAUGUGUGAAGUUGUUAAAUUCUGCUUAUAUCUAUGUUAAAAAAUAUGAGUUUCAUUAUAAUAGUUUUUUUAAAGGAAAAUGUAUAAAUUAUUACUUAUAAUUAUCGAUUCUUAUGUUCCUAAUAGAAAAUGCUUUACACAAUUGCAGCAGCAGCGAAAGCAUCUAAGAGGUUUACAAGAGGUUUAGUAGAGAAGUGAGAAUAGUGAGCCCAAAAAUGGAGUUUCCUCCUUCUUCCUCCUCCACGGUCUCACACGACACCGUUUUCUACACCAUAUACCCUAACUCCUCCAUCACAACCAACACCCUCCAAUCUCUCCACCUCCAAAUCCUACAAACCAUUUCUCCCUUCAUCACCGACUACAUAUGGCAACAUCAACCUUUCACACUCUCUCUCUCCAUUCCUCCAAACCCUACCUGUCUCUGCCCUUCCUCCUCCAACAUCCCCCACCUCCACGGCCACUUUCGUUACGGCGACAACCUCGACGACGAAUGGUUUGCCGUCUUCCUCCUCUUCCACAUCUCCAUCCAUUUUCCCUCCCUUUCCAUCCGCCUCUGGGACUCCGACGGCGAG
Molecule: long non-coding RNA, 1852 nt
Filed under: Cicer arietinum (chickpea)
Lineage: Eukaryota; Viridiplantae; Streptophyta; Magnoliopsida; Fabales; Fabaceae
Description: long non-coding RNA (CARI_LNC002302)
Source: RNAcentral